GCCUGGUUUGCUCAGUAGGUAGGUAGAGCAUGUGACUCUUGAUCUUGGGGUCAUGAGUUUGAACCCCACAUUGGGCA
Molecule: transfer RNA, 77 nt
Filed under: Mustela putorius furo (domestic ferret)
Lineage: Eukaryota; Metazoa; Chordata; Mammalia; Carnivora; Mustelidae
Rfam family: tRNA
About the family: Transfer RNA (tRNA) molecules are approximately 80 nucleotides in length. Their secondary structure includes four short double-helical elements and three loops (D, anti-codon, and T loops).
Source: Rfam by way of RNAcentral